GACGAACGCUGGCGGCGUGCUUAACACAUGCAAGUCGAACGGAAAGGCCCUGCUUUUGUGGGGUGCUCGAGUGGCGAACGGGUGAGUAACACGUGAGUAACCUGCCCUUGACUUUGGGAUAACUUCAGGAAACUGGGGCUAAUACCGGAUAGGAGCUCCUGCUGCAUGGUGGGGGUUGGAAAGUUUCGGCGGUUGGGGAUGGACUCGCGGGUUAUCAGCUUGUUGGUGGGGUAGUGGCUUACCAAGGCAUUGACGGGUAGCCGGCCCGGGAGGGUGAACGGCCACAUUGGGACUGAGAGACGGACCAGACUCGUAUGGGAGGCAGCAGGGGGGAAUAUUGCACAAUGGGCGGAAGCCUGAGGCAGCAACGCUGCGUGCGGGAUGACGGCCUUCGGGUUGUAAACCGCUGUCGCCUGUGACGAAGCGUGAGUGACGGUAAUGGGUAAAGAAGCACCGGCUAACUACGUG
Molecule: ribosomal RNA, 468 nt
Filed under: uncultured bacterium
Lineage: Bacteria
Description: partial 16S ribosomal RNA
Rfam family: Bacterial small subunit ribosomal RNA
Source: RNAcentral